AACGCACAUUGCGCCCUGUGGUAUUCCGCAGGGCAUGCCUGUUCGAGCGUCAUUAUAACCAAUCAUGCCUGGCAUGGUGUUGGGGCACGCGGUCUCGCGGCCCUCAAAAACAGUGGCGGCGCCGGUAGGCUCUAAGCGUAGUAAUUUCUCUCGCUACAGGGUCCUGACGGUUGCUCGCCAGAACCCCCACUUCUUAAGGUUGACCUCGGAUCAGGUAGGGAUACCCGCUGAACUUAA
This 237-nucleotide unclassified non-coding RNA is filed under the name uncultured fungus. RNAcentral describes it as "partial contains 5.8S ribosomal RNA, internal transcribed spacer 2, and large subunit ribosomal RNA". The stretch from base 1 to 52 matches the Rfam family "5.8S ribosomal RNA", at positions 103 to 154 of the family's 154-position model. The record is from RNAcentral. Lineage: Eukaryota; Fungi.